GAUGAAGAACGUAGCGAAAUGCGAUAAGUAAUGCGAAUUGCAGAAUCCGUGAGUCAUCGAAUCUUUGAACGCAUAUCGCGCCCUUUGGCAUUCCGAAGGGCAUGCCUGUUCGAGCGUCAUUAUCACCCCUCAAGCCCCGGCUUGGUGUUGGGCCCCCGGUGGUCGUACCCGACCACCCGCCUCAAAGAUAGUGACGGCGUCCCAGAGGGAACCGGUACGAGGAGCUUUCACGAGCAUGUACGCGGGGACGACUCUGUGGGCGACGGUCUUUUUUAACCUUAAUAUAUCAAGUGUUGACCUCGGAUCAGGUAGGAAUACCCGCUGAACUUAAGCAUAUCAAUAAGCGGAGGA
This 351-nucleotide unclassified non-coding RNA is filed under the name soil metagenome. Its description in RNAcentral is "partial contains 5.8S ribosomal RNA, internal transcribed spacer 2, and large subunit ribosomal RNA". The stretch from base 1 to 119 matches the Rfam family "5.8S ribosomal RNA", at positions 35 to 154 of the family's 154-position model. The record is from RNAcentral.